Non-coding RNA from Pelobates cultripes (western spadefoot toad), 371 nucleotides. NCBI's taxonomy places the organism in Eukaryota, Metazoa, Chordata, Amphibia, Anura, Pelobatidae. The record is from the annotation of a GenBank genome assembly.
GUUUAAUUUUCUAUGUUCUUAUUUCAGUUAUUGUUGCUUUACAUUCCAGCAGAAUCCAUCAUAGACCAUUAGAACAUGGACUAUCAAUACCUAGAAACUCGACUAAGUCAGGUCAGCCCAGAUCCUUUAUCCUUUAACCAUUAGGUUGGAGGCAGGAUAAGGAUUUUCAAAUGUAAUAUUACUUUAAUACCCGUUGCUUAAUGUGUAAUGCAAGAGACAAACAAAAUCUUUUUGAUAAAAAAGAUGAAUUAUAAAUCAUAACUUUCGUAGGUCCUUGCUCGACACCACAUUAGACAGGACAUCGAUGUGACUGUUUACUCGUGACAUAAUAUACUAUGUCUCUGUACUGGAAUGUUACCUCUGGAUAUCUG